RNAcentral lists this transfer RNA (63 nucleotides) under Lamproblatta albipalpus. Its description in RNAcentral is "tRNA-Ser". The record is from RNAcentral. Lineage: Eukaryota; Metazoa; Arthropoda; Insecta; Blattodea; Lamproblattidae.
GAAAUGAUCAUAAAUAUAAGCUGCUAACUUAUAAUUUUAACGAAUAAAAUCGUUUACAUUUCU